RNAcentral lists this ribosomal RNA (253 nucleotides) under uncultured bacterium. Its description in RNAcentral is "partial 16S ribosomal RNA". It matches the Rfam family "Bacterial small subunit ribosomal RNA", at positions 524 to 776 of the family's 1533-position model. The record is from RNAcentral.
UACGGAGGAUCCAAGCGUUAUCCGGAAUCAUUGGGUUUAAAGGGUCCGUAGGCGGUUUAAUAAGUCAGUGGUGAAAGCCCAUCGCUCAACGGUGGAACGGCCAUUGAUACUGUUAAACUUGAAUUAUUAGGAAGUAACUAGAAUAUGUAGUGUAGCGGUGAAAUGCUUAGAGAUUACAUGGAAUACCAAUUGCGAAGGCAGGUUACUACUAAUGGAUUGACGCUGAUGGACGAAAGCGUGGGGAGCGAACAGG